This 827-nucleotide ribosomal RNA is filed under the name Vibrio parahaemolyticus. RNAcentral describes it as "partial 23S ribosomal RNA". It matches the Rfam family "Bacterial large subunit ribosomal RNA", at positions 1332 to 2142 of the family's 2925-position model. Lineage: Bacteria; Pseudomonadati; Pseudomonadota; Gammaproteobacteria; Vibrionales; Vibrionaceae. The record is from RNAcentral.
CCUCGCCGGAAGACCAAGGGUUCCUGUCCAACGUUAAUCGGGGCAGGGUAAGUCGACCCCUAAGGCGAGGCCGAAAGGCGUAGUCGAUGGGAAACGGGUUAAUAUUCCCGUACUUCUUACAAUUGCGAUGGGGGGACGGAGAAGGCUAGGUGGGCCUGGCGACGGUUGUCCAGGUUCAAGUGCGUAGGCUUAAGAGUUAGGUAAAUCCGGCUCUUUUUAAGGCUGAGACACGACGUCGAGCAUCUACGGAUGUGAAGUCAUUGAUGCCAUGCUUCCAGGAAAAGCCUCUAAGCUUCAGAUUGUAAGGAAUCGUACCCCAAACCGACACAGGUGGUCGGGUAGAGAAUACCAAGGCGCUUGAGAGAACUCGGGUGAAGGAACUAGGCAAAAUGGUACCGUAACUUCGGGAGAAGGUACGCUCUUGAUGGUGAAGUCCCUUGCGGAUGGAGCUGACGAGAGUCGCAGAUACCAGGUGGCUGCAACUGUUUAUUAAAAACACAGCACUGUGCAAAAUCGUAAGAUGACGUAUACGGUGUGACGCCUGCCCGGUGCCGGAAGGUUAAUUGAUGGGGUUAGACUUCGGUCGAAGCUCUUGAUCGAAGCCCCGGUAAACGGCGGCCGUAACUAUAACGGUCCUAAGGUAGCGAAAUUCCUUGUCGGGUAAGUUCCGACCUGCACGAAUGGCGUAAUGAUGGCCACGCUGUCUCCACCCGAGACUCAGUGAAAUUGAAAUCGCUGUGAAGAUGCAGUGUACCCGCGGCUAGACGGAAAGACCCCGUGAACCUUUACUACAGCUUGGCACUGAACAUUGACCCUACAUGUGUAGG